GGGGACGCUACGGAUUCGACAGGGGUAGUUCGAGCUUAAGUUGCGAGUCGAGGGGAUCGGCCUCGUUAAAACGUCAAAGCCAAUAACUGGCAAAACUAACAACAACCUCGCUUUCGCUGCCUAAUAACAGCUGAUUGCGGUUCCUCCCUCCAUCGCCCAUGUGGUAGGGUAAGGGACUCACUCUAAGUGGGCUACGCCGGAUUCCACCGCCUGAGGAUGAAGGAAGAGAACAACCAGGCUAGCUGGCCGGACGCCCGUCGAUAGGCAGAAGUGUCAGCGAAACGCGAAUAUAUCGACUACACUCGUAGAAGCUUAAGUGCCGAUGUCUCUGGACGUGGGUUCGACUCCCACCGUCUCCACCA
RNAcentral lists this transfer-messenger RNA (362 nucleotides) under Caryophanales. Its description in RNAcentral is "T33-2 sp002860205 Standard tmRNA". It matches the Rfam family "transfer-messenger RNA". From Rfam's summary of the family: Bacterial tmRNA, also known as 10Sa RNA or SsrA, is named for its dual tRNA and mRNA-like properties. Its role is to liberate the mRNA from a stalled ribosome. RNAcentral also lists the same sequence under 1 other name. Lineage: Bacteria; Bacillati; Bacillota; Bacilli. The record is from RNAcentral.